UACGAAGGGGGCUAGCGUUGCUCGGAAUCACUGGGCGUAAAGCGCACGUAGGCGGCUUUUUAAGUCAGAGGUGAAAUCCUGGAGCUCAACUCCAGAACUGCCUUUGAUACUGGAGAGCUUGAGUCCGGGAGAGGUGAGUGGAACUGCGAGUGUAGAGGUGAAAUUCGUAGAUAUUCGCAAGAACACCAGUGGCGAAGGCGGCUCACUGGUCCGGUACUGACGCUGAGGUGCGAAAGCGUGGGGAGCAAACAGG
RNAcentral lists this ribosomal RNA (253 nucleotides) under uncultured bacterium. RNAcentral describes it as "partial 16S ribosomal RNA". It matches the Rfam family "Bacterial small subunit ribosomal RNA", at positions 524 to 776 of the family's 1533-position model. The record is from RNAcentral.